GGGCUCAUAGCUCAGCUGGAUAGAGCAACGGAUUUCUAAUCCGUAGGUCGUAGGUUCGAGCCCUACUGGGCCUA
RNAcentral lists this transfer RNA (74 nucleotides) under Pirellula sp. Its description in RNAcentral is "tRNA-Arg". It matches the Rfam family "tRNA". From Rfam's summary of the family: Transfer RNA (tRNA) molecules are approximately 80 nucleotides in length. Their secondary structure includes four short double-helical elements and three loops (D, anti-codon, and T loops). Further hydrogen bonds mediate the characteristic L-shaped molecular structure. tRNAs have two regions of fundamental functional importance: the anti-codon, which is responsible for specific mRNA codon recognition, and the 3' end, to which the tRNAs corresponding amino acid is attached (by aminoacyl-tRNA synthetases). tRNAs cope with the degeneracy of the genetic code in two manners: having more than one tRNA (with a specific anti-codon) for a particular amino acid; and 'wobble' base-pairing, i.e. permitting non-standard base-pairing at the 3rd anti-codon position. Lineage: Bacteria; Pseudomonadati; Planctomycetota; Planctomycetia; Pirellulales; Pirellulaceae. RNAcentral also lists the same sequence under 1 other name. The record is from RNAcentral.